AGAGUUUGAUCCUGGCUCAGAUUGAACGCUGGCGGCGUGCUUAACACAUGCAAGUCCAACGUGAAAGGGGAGCAAUCCCCCGGUAGGGUGGCAAACGGGUGAGUAAGACAUGGGUGAUCUACCUUAGGGAUGGGGAUAUCCUUCCGAAAGGAGGGGCAAUACCGAAUAUUGUCCGGGACCGAUGAAGGGUUCCGGGGAAAGGGGAAGGGCCUCUGAUACAAGCUUUCGUCCUUAAGAUGAGCCCACUGGCCCAUCAGCUAGUUGGUAGGGUAAAGGGACCGUACCAAGG
RNAcentral lists this ribosomal RNA (289 nucleotides) under uncultured prokaryote. Its description in RNAcentral is "partial 16S ribosomal RNA". It matches the Rfam family "Bacterial small subunit ribosomal RNA", at positions 8 to 273 of the family's 1533-position model. The record is from RNAcentral.